This 558-nucleotide long non-coding RNA is filed under the name Musa acuminata (dwarf banana). RNAcentral describes it as "long non-coding RNA (MACU_LNC006300)". The record is from RNAcentral. Lineage: Eukaryota; Viridiplantae; Streptophyta; Magnoliopsida; Zingiberales; Musaceae.
GCUGCUGUACCUACGGCCAGUGCUCUCUUCCCCUUCCUCGCCGGCCUCCUUGUCGCUCUCCCCCUUAAUGACCAGGGUGUUAUGCUCCGCCCACACCUUGACGUGCUCCUUCCCCAGCCCCGGCAUGUCCACGCGGAGGUGCAACGCGUGCUCGUCCUCCCUCGCGUCCCACCCGCGGCGGAGCCCGCCGGCGGCGCCGCUCGGCCCGGCCGCUGCGAAGAUGGGGUUAUCCAGCAUCUGGUCCAUCAGGUUCAGCACCUGGCUCAGGCUCCGCGUCGGGUUGAACGGAUCGAACACCUCUGCAUCACAGAAAACCCUCGAUUCAGCAUCUCGACGGCAGGGAGAGCGAAAGGGGUCGGAGAGGGAGAACGAAAUUAACAUGGAAUGAGAUGACGACUACCUUGGAGAGAGGGGAAUGAGUCUGCGCGGCGGCGGUGAGCAGCGGCGGGGGAGUCGGGGCGUCGCUCGAGGUCGACGUCGCGGUUGUCGUCAUCGUAGUCUCGAAGGGUGCCGGUGCUGAAGAGGCGAGUGGUGGCAGCUGCCACAGGGCGACCAGGG